RNAcentral lists this RNase P RNA (378 nucleotides) under Clostridia bacterium. RNAcentral's name for it is "RNase P RNA component class A". It matches the Rfam family "Bacterial RNase P class A". From Rfam's summary of the family: Ribonuclease P (RNase P) is a ubiquitous endoribonuclease, found in archaea, bacteria and eukarya as well as chloroplasts and mitochondria. Its best characterised activity is the generation of mature 5'-ends of tRNAs by cleaving the 5'-leader elements of precursor-tRNAs. Cellular RNase Ps are ribonucleoproteins. The record is from RNAcentral. Lineage: Bacteria; Bacillati; Bacillota; Clostridia.
CCCGCAGGUGGGACUGCCGCGUGUCAUGGUGCCGAAAGGUAUUGGCAUGAGGAAAGUCCGGGCAUCGCAGGGCAGGAUAACGGAUAACGUCCGCCGAGGGGAACCUCCGGGAAAGUGCAACAGAAAUAGACUACCAACGUAUUGCAGAAUACACGGUACAGAUGGAAAGGCGAGGUAAAAGCUCACCGGCACGACAGGCGACUGUGUGCAAAUGUAAACCCUAUCCGAUGCAACACCGUAUGUGCGGGGUCCCUUGUGACCGUGCCGGCCCGGCAUAUCCGCACAGGUGGCUAUCAGGUCUGCGGCAACGCCGAUCACAGAUAGAUGGCAGUCACGCAGCAAUGCGUACAGAACCCGGCUUACAAGCCUGCCGGAAAA